Molecule: long non-coding RNA, 213 nt
Filed under: Mytilus galloprovincialis (Mediterranean mussel)
Lineage: Eukaryota; Metazoa; Mollusca; Bivalvia; Mytilida; Mytilidae
Source: RNAcentral
AAUACACCUAUUUCCAGAAUAAGAAAUAAACUUCAAGAACUUUCAAAGUGGUUUGUGUUUGUACCGGCCGACAAAGCAGCCAAAAUGUGUGGUGUAUGCCGUAAAUACUACACGGACGUUCUUAAGAAUGAAAUUAUAAAUUCAUCUACAUUCAAGUCCAUCCGCUCCACAGAGAGUCAUAUAGUAAACAAACAUAUCACAACCACACCAAAG